RNAcentral lists this long non-coding RNA (3151 nucleotides) under Centruroides sculpturatus (bark scorpion). RNAcentral describes it as "uncharacterized LOC111630774". Lineage: Eukaryota; Metazoa; Arthropoda; Arachnida; Scorpiones; Buthidae. The record is from RNAcentral.
AAGAUCAUUGCAAUAUAUGCAUGGACAGUCUUCAUCAUCAUCAUCAUCAUGAGAGUUAUCAGGAAAAUUUUCUUCUUCGAGUAACUUUUAAUAAUGUUUCGUCUCCUUUUCUCUGGCAGAGCUUUGGACUCAUUUUUGGAUUUAACUGCCUUCAUAUUAGGAGUAGAAGUUAAAACUAAAGAGGUUUGUCGAGUCACGUGAUUCGUUGCAAGUUUUUUGUUAUGUGAAAGAUAAUAAAUUUUUAAAUAAUAUGUAGAAAGGAAAUAAAGUUUUAUAAUAAAAUUUCUUUUAAACAAUAAUGAAAGACUUUUUUGGAAGCCAUUUUUUAUAAUUAAUAAAACGUUAAGAGGUUAAGGUAAGUUCCUUGACUAAGCUCUUAUGGACUAAAUGACAUACCUAUGUAAUUAUGUGCAUUGUCUAUGUAUGUCGUUUUGUUCAUAUUACGUUAUAAAAAAACAAAAUUACAGUAUAAAAUAAAUACAAAGAUGUUAUUUUUAAUGAAAAAACUUAUUUAGGUGCAACAACAAAUUUUUGGGGGGAUUGAAAUAAAUGCUACAGAAAUAGAUAAAAUAGUGAAAAACUUACCAUCUAUACAAAAAAAACUUGUUAUAAGGAAAAAAACUCGUAACGUAUCAACGCUUGUCUUCGGCCAUGACACCCGGGCGAAUGAGAGGAGUGCGUUCACGUUUUGACAGAUUAGUAAAAGCCACUCGGAUAACGUGGUGUCGUGGUCAGUUGCGCGCUUGAGACCGCCAAAUUCGAAUUAUGUUGCUUGUGUCAUUUUGUACCUAUUUCCCCUAUAUCUAUGCGAUUUUAUACAUUUUAUAUGUCGUUAAAUAAAGCAACAUCUACAAUAAUACAUUCUACAAUAUUUAUUCAAAUUUAUAUUCUAAAAGAGAAUUUUAAAAAUGGAUGUAUAUUACUUUGUCACUUUUCUCCACUUUUUGUUUUAGGAGUUAAUCGAUUUGAAAAGUAAAAAGAGUACAUAUAACACAAGUGUUUCGCAUAAAAAUAAAACAGCCAAAGUGAUGCGUGUUGGUUAAAAUAUUCCUACGUCUUCUGCAUGUCCUGAAAUCACCAUACAAUGUUUAGUUGCAUUUGGACUGCUAAAUAACGAUUAAAACUAAUCAAAGUUAUUAAACAGCUCUAUCCAUUGUUAAAUUUAAUUACGAUUAACAUUUAAAGUCAAUACUGUUACGAAGCUUUUUAUAACGAAACAAUACUGUAAAUUCGACAAUAAUUUUCCGUACAUUAUUUACAGCAUACCGCGUAUUUAAGAUUUAUUUGCGAUAAAUGAAUCGGAUUACAGUAUUCUGCAAUGACAAACAACACAUCCAUUUCUCAAAAUACCUUCUGUGUAAAUAUAGCGAUAGACUAAAAUCCAUGCUACGUUUUUAUUUAAACACAUCAGUCUUCCUUUACUUACCAUACUCGUUGGAUGUUUUGCAACAAAUUAGACAAUAUCUGAAAGAAAGACAAGAAACCAUAAAAUCAAUGCAAAAUGCGAUGGACGUGUUCUGCGUAAGCAAUCGAUUAGGCCUAGGUGAUUUAAGAAAAGUAUGUCGAGAUUUUAUGACUGAUACGCCAAGAAUUAAGAACGUGUGUUAUGUACAUGACUUAGCAUGCCAGGAGAACGAUAGCAGAUUAUAAUAUUUAUGCUGGAAUAUAUUUAAUUCGAAAUGGCAAGAAAUUCUCUCAUCGAACGAAUGGCUGAACUGUGAAGCAACAACCAUGGAUAGACUCGUUCGUAGGCCAAUAAAUUCAUUUAUUGAGGAAACAGACAUCUUCACAAUAGUUUUAAAAUAGGCCAAGAAAAGAAUUAAUAAUGAAAAAUCUCUAAGGCAAGUCAUGAAACCAUUCCUUCCGUACAUACGAUUUCUGACAAUGCCAGAAUGGUUUCUGGAAUCUCAAGUGUUCGUUGAACUGAUCUUAAUGGACGUAGAGAGAGAUGCAAUAAGAUGUUACUUGCAAAAUAAAGAUUUCGACGAGACAUGGUUUAUUCCAGAGAGUGUUUGUGACAUUACAUGUCCUAGAAAACACGAAUUACUCUCGUCCUGGUUCUCUUAUGUGAAUCGAAGUGCAUACUUUAUUAAGAAAGUAAGGAAAAUGAACACAAAUAUUCGAUUUAUAUGCGAAAUAGUUGCUAAGGAAGAUUGUUUUAUCACCAAAUUGUAUCUUCCUAUAAGACAUUGGAUUGAAGAAGGUAUAACUGUAAUCUUGAAUUUUUCUGCUGACUUGAAGUUACGGACAAAAUAUUGUUUGAGAACAGCAUGUAAUUUAUUGAGUAUGAACGGAUGUAUUUUAUUGAGUGAUAGUAUUCUUCGGAUUAGAAAGUUUACAUGUUAUCGAUUGAUUGCUAAAAUUGCAGAGACACAUGUCAUUGCAGGAAAUUACAUAACAAUCAGUCCCUCGGCAAAUUACUACAAUCCGUUCGAAGGAAUUCAAUGUCUGAAAGAUUUGCAGUUUGGAUUGAAAUUGAGAGAUGAAUUUGAGUACUUCUACUUUGAUGUUAUGCCCUACUUUUAAAUACGGAUACACAAAUUAAUUUUCCUCUAUAUUAUAUAAUGUUAAUCUCGUAAAAUUUAAAAAUUUAUGUGUUUUAAUUUCGAAUAAUUAAAUUUAACUUUUACUGUCGAAGUUUUUUAAGUUAUUUGUCAAGGCUACACGUGAAUGCGCCACGCCAGGGUGACAACACUCUGUCUUUAAAGACACAGAAAUCGCGAUAGUAAACGUUCACGCGCGAGCGGUCACGUUCGUAGGCGGUCGGAUCCGGGAUGAAGGAGGUUGAAGAGACUUAAAGAAGUUCACCCAGUCAAGGAUCAAUAUAAACAUAAUUACCCGUUUGUAUUAUAAAAUACUAUUUACAGAGAAAAAUCAUACAUGUUAUUUAGGAUUUAUAAGGGAUUUUUUUUACAUUAUAACUAUUGGCUAUCGUUUCUGUAUAUUAUAACUAAGAGCUAUUCUAAUUAUCUGCGUGAGUCCUAGUCCCGAGAGAGAAAGAGUUUACAUAGAUUUGCGGGUAGGUAAAUACCUUGGCAGAAGGCCCGAUCAACUAUAUAUAUAUACAGGGCCCGCUCUAGCGGUUACGUCGCCUCGGACAAAAAGACAAAUUUCCGCCCCUUUAGAAUAUAUAUUUAAAUAAAGAUACAUA